Molecule: ribosomal RNA, 384 nt
Filed under: uncultured bacterium
Lineage: Bacteria
Description: bacterial SSU rRNA
Rfam family: Bacterial small subunit ribosomal RNA
Source: RNAcentral
AUUGAACGCUGGCGGCAUGCCUUACACAUGCAAGUCGAGCGCGAAAGGGGGCAACCCCGAGUAGAGCGGCGGACGGGUGAGUAACGCAUCGGAACGUGCCCAGUAGUGGGGGACAACCUCGAGAAAUCGAGGCUAAUACCGCAUACGACCCACGGGUGAAAGCGGGGGACCGCAAGGCCUCGCGCUAUUGGAGCGGCCGAUGUCCGAUUAGCUAGUUGGCGGGGUAAGAGCCCACCAAGGCGACGAUCGGUAGCUGGUCUGAGAGGACGACCAGCCACACUGGGACUGAGACACGGCCCAGACUCCUACGGGAGGCAGCAGUGGGGAAUAUUGGGCAAUGGGCGCAAGCCUGACCCAGCCAUGCCGCGUGCGGGAAGAAGGCCU